GGAGUUAGCCGGUGCUUCUUCUGUGAGUGAUGUCCUUCCUGCCGGCUAUUAACCCGCAGGCCUUCUUCCUCACUGAAAGUGCUUUACAACCCGAAGGCCUUCUUCACACCACGCGGCAUGGCUGGAUCAGGGUUGCCCCCAUUGUCCAAUAUUCCCCACUGCUGCCUCCCGUAGGAGUCUGGGCCGUGUCUCAGUCCCAGUGUGGCUGAUCAUCCUCUCAGACCAGCUACGGAUCGUCGCCUUGGUUAGCCGUUACCUCACCAACCAGCUAAUCCGACAUAGGCUCAUCCGAUAGCGCGAGGCCCGAAGGUCCCCCGCUUUCCCCCGUAGGGCGUAUGCGGUAUUAGCCUGGGUUUCCCCCAGGUUAUCCCCCACUACCGGGCAGAUUCCUAUGCAUUACUCACCCGUCCGCCGCUCGCCACCAGGGAGCAAGCUCCCCGUGCUGCCGCUCGACUUGCAUGUGUUAGGCCGUCGCCGCCACGCGUUCAAUCUGAGCCGAGGAUACAAACUACUGA
RNAcentral lists this ribosomal RNA (515 nucleotides) under uncultured bacterium. RNAcentral's name for it is "partial 16S ribosomal RNA". The record is from RNAcentral.